AAAAAAAGUGGUGGUGUAAAUCCAGUUUUGUUACUGUUCAUUGUAAAGUCUUAUUGCAGAGGGGAGGAAUGAUCUGCGGUAGCGCUCCGUCCUGCAGGGUGGGAGUCUCAGUCUGCUGCUGAAGGAGCUGCCUAAAGCCCCCACAGUCUGGUGCAGUGGGUGAGAGGGAUUGUCCAUGAUGGAUAUAAGCUUUGUUAACAUCCUCCUCUCACCCACCUCCUCCAGGGAGUCCAAAGAGCAGUCCAGGACAGAACCGGCCCUCCUGACCAGUCUAUAAUAUUUGUGCUCGAGCAAAUUUUUGGUAACAAAAAGGAGCAAAAAGGUGUCAAUGCUUAAGGCUGCCAUGAAAUUCAGCAUUUUUGAAUCAUUAAAAAAGGCUUCAGAAUCCAGGAGGGACAGGAAACAUAGGCGUGCACAGAGGUGUUCAAGGACAUGUAACUCAGGAGUCUUGUUGUAAAUGGGUAGAACUGUGUGUGUAUGAUGAAGAUAAGAGAGGCAAUUUUUGCUCGUCUGCUCUUUUGUGUUAAAAUAGAAAAAAGGGAGCUCAGUGUCUCUCCCCAUCCUCCAUCCUUAUCCCUCCUUGUUCCCCCUCCCUCUUCUGCACCAUCUGAACAAAGACAACUGCUCUUUGUUAGCUACAUGCUCUGUGUAGGAUUUGGAGUCAGAUUGUGUCUCUUUUUUUUUGCUGAUGCUGGCGGCAGAUAUAGUUAACCUGCUGUUUGUGUGAGUCUGAGAGCAGCAGAGAUGGAGGAGGAAAUAAUCCUGAAGAUAAUGUUAGGCCUUGUGUCCACCGGGUUUCUGUUUCGAGCACCAGCACCUUUUUCAGGCACCUUCAAUAGACACAGAGUGAAGAGCUGUGUCUGUAAAAACGCUAUAACCAGCACCUUUUCUUGUUCAAACCACUCCACCUUUUUGUUUUGCUGCUCUGGGUGCUUCAGAGUGAAAACAACUCAGAUUUUCAAAAGACAGCGCUGCAAUUUUUUCGUGUCGGGAGGAUGAGAUGUUGUCAAAGAGACCUACACAGACACGCACUUUUCUUUUUCCCUCACCCUACUAAACACUUUACUUAUGGCCUGCCAGUGCUUUUCUAUUUUAAAUAAUCCCAGCGAGCAUAAGGCUUUAGGUUAAUGACAGGGUGGGUUGACAGGCAAGGUGAAUAAAUAUAUAUUUUGUGAUAAAUACUGGAGGAAAGAGGAUUUGCAUUCGGCGGAGAGAGGAAAAGAGUGAUGGAAUUUUCAUCUUUCUGCCCCACCCUUUUUUCCCCAUAUAAGGCAGUGCCAAUUUGCUGGGGGCUGCUGACGUGGUUUACCAGUCUGUUCUCUGAGGGUAUUUAGGUUAGGGUGUAGAAGGGGGUUGGGUGGCCUCCUUUACUAGUCUAGACUACACAGUUUUUCUUUGGAAAUGUUCUUUGUCUGUGUUUUCCAAUUCUACACCUCAUCUCAAGGGUGCUGACUGCCUUUCUCUGAUGGUUUGCAUUACACCAUGCUAUCGUGUUGAAAGAAAAAAAAAACCUGCUUGGUGAUGAAUUAUUUCUUGAAUAUUAUGAUAUUGAAUUCAUAAUUUAGCUGCAAUGUGCUAAAGCAGAUGCCAGUGGGUUCGGUUGUGUAUAUGCACCGCAUGAGCGUUACAAUGUAAGACCGGGUAAAUCACAGCGACUGUUAAGGUCACUUGGUGAAUGAGACAAUUUAGCUCCAUUACCUGGAUGGCUGAUAUCAAUAGAUGAGGAGUUAGAGAGCAUGAAGAGAGUGGGCAGCUAUUAGCCCCUAUAAAUCAUACAGAUUUUAGAGGAAGAGAGCGCCCAAAGAGAGGAGGUAGCAGGUGGGAGUGAAGGUUGUGAAGGGUGGAAUAACUACUGCGAAUCUAGCUGAAGGAGUAUUUUUGAGUCCAACCGAAUGGCUGGUUUUCUCACAUAUAAAGUGGUCUUUUAUUGGAGACACAAGACAGGCAGUUAGAUCAAUAUUAGGCUGCCCUUGGCCCCCCUUGACUCCCAUCAAACAUAAUGAAGCACAAUCACCUGCAGUUUUCAGCUGUUGCAGCAGGUUUCAGCAAAAAGAAGACAUACGGCGUCACAAAGAAACAAGAAAUGAAUGGACUGUGUUUAUGUAGCGCUUUCUCUGGUCUGCGGAGCUCUCAAAUGGCUUUUACUUUACAUGUCACAGUCACACAAUGAUGGCAGAGGAUACUGUGUGAGGCAUCGGUAUUACCUAAUCCCAUUCACAGCCAGUGGGGCAGUUUGGGGUCAAGUGUUUUGCCAAAAGACACUUUUGUAUGUAGACAGUGGGACUUGGGAUUGAACCCCGCACAUUCCCAUUGUGAGAUGACCGGCUCACUGAGCAGCUGCCCCAAAGAGACUGAAUUUUCUUUUGUGUCAUUUUGGUAAAUAUAUGUAGAAACACAUACAGGUGAUCCCUGUGCAGCCCCCCUAAGCACCCCAACAGCUGCAGGAUUCCUUGAAGUGGUUAUCUUCAAUACCCACUCCGAUGAAAAUCAUGUUUUUCUCGUUUUUUACAUUUUCAUAUGGCAUUUUUCUGAUGCUACAGGGCAUAUCAUGAGAAAACUAAAGGCGAAUUGCUGUGAAUCUCUGGCAGACCCAAACGACAGGCUCAGACACAGUGAGAUUUCAUACGUAACCAAUCCAAGCUCCACCCCCGGAGCCACACUCUGCAUACAGAGGAGAAAUGCAGAGAACGAUCGCGGGACAAGAGUGUGCGUUAGCGGAUUGCAAUGCUCAUAAGAAAGCUAAUGAUGAUAUAAGCGUUCAUUGUGUCCCUAAAGACAUUCGUGUCCGAGACUUGAAUAGCACCUAUGUUACCUGCCACUUCUACUACACCAGCAAUGUAAGGCUGCAAGCUAACUCAAGGCGAAGUGUGCAGAGCAGCGCUGUCUCCGCCCACAACUCAGAGGUGAAUUGUUAAUGAUCUACUGGAGCUCUGCAGGAGAAAAAUCCUUGAAAAUGACACAAGUAACACAAUUUUCGGUAAAAACUUUGUAAUCACAAUUUAAAGACCACUUAGAUCACUUUAAGAAGUAAAAGAAAAUGAUCGAAGUGGAACUUUAAAUAAAGCUUGUCCAGAUCAAAUCAAUUAAAUUUACUAUCCUCACUCUCUUUUUUAAGUUACUUUUUGGAGCAUUUUUGCCCUUAUCGGGUGGAACAGCUGUUAGCAGACCGGAUGUGGGCAGCGGAAACAAAAGAGAUGUGCAGCAAAUAGUCAAGACCUCUGAGACAAGGACCGUAGCAUCUAUGGUCCUCUCAUCUCUGAGACAACGGCACCCUCAUACCUUGGUUUUUAUUUGAGACUUUACUUUUUGCUUUCUUCCUGACUUCUUAUAAAGGUAAACACCUGUCCACAUGUAGCCAUUAUCUAUUUGGUGGGGGUUUUUUUUGUCCUCCUAGGUCUUUAACUGUGUUGUCAAUCACUGACUAGAUUGCCGUUGUGUAUUUUCCCGCCACAGUCUUUGUUGUGACACUCAAAACUCACGUCAGCUCCAGUGGAACUGAUUCUCUAUGUCAAUGCUGUCACAAGAAGUUUAUGCAUUGUCAGUUAUCGUCUCACACCAGUGAUUGUGUGAUUCAAAUGAUUCAUAAUUCACAGAUGUAACGGUGCUUGUGUGCUUGCAAACACUGGCACAAAUAACAAAUACAGUACAAUAACAAAGUUGUUUAUAUUGCUCAGGAGUAUGUCAAACUGUCAAGUUUUUGUCACGACAAACCAGCAGGUAACCUACGACUCAGAAAAAAUGUGGAGGUGUAAA
This 3753-nucleotide long non-coding RNA is filed under the name Xyrichtys novacula (pearly razorfish). The record is from RNAcentral. Lineage: Eukaryota; Metazoa; Chordata; Actinopteri; Labriformes; Labridae.